RNAcentral lists this ribosomal RNA (416 nucleotides) under uncultured bacterium. RNAcentral describes it as "bacterial SSU rRNA". It matches the Rfam family "Bacterial small subunit ribosomal RNA", at positions 355 to 787 of the family's 1533-position model. The record is from RNAcentral.
UGGGGAAUAUUGCACAAUGGGCGAAAGCCUGAUGCAGCAACGCCGCGUGAAGGAAGAAGGCCUUCGGGUCGUAAACUUCUGUCCUUGGGGAAGAAGAACUGACGGUACCCAAGGAGGAAGCCCCGGCUAACUACGUGCCAGCAGCCGCGGUAAUACGUAGGGGCGAAGCGUUAUCCGGAAUUAUUGGGCGUAAAGAGUACGUAGGUGGCAACCUAAGCGCAGGGUUUAAGGCAAUGGCUUAACCAUUGUUCGCCCUGCGAACUGGGAUGCUUGAGUGCAGGAGAGGAAAGCGGAAUUCCUAGUGUAGCGGUGAAAUGCGUAGAUAUUAGGAGGAACACCAGUGGCGAAGGCGGCUUUCUGGACUGUAACUGACACUGAGGUACGAAAGCGUGGGGAGCAAACAGGAUUAGAUACCC